AGCCGAUUUAAAUAAUAAAAGAAAAACAAAUUAAUAAGAUAAACAUUUUGUAUUUAAGCCUCUAUAUUUUCUUUAUUUUCAAUAUGUUGUAAUAUAUAAAGGAGAUUUUAUAUUGGGAACCUAGAAAAACUUUUAUUCUUUUUUCCUAUAUGCCAGCGGAAGCCACGGUUUCAAUGUUUCAUCCAUCCGGACUGACGCGCGUGGGCGGACCGACUUGGGAUCGACGAGCGGAAAAAUUUGGCAGAUUGAAAUUUUUGCAAUUUAGUAGUAGGGAUAGAUUAGCGUACGUGUGUUCGUGUAUGCAUGAUGUGGACCUCUAAAUUGUACUAUAUAAUUCUAAAAAAACAUGACAAAGCCUACAAAAAAUAGUAGAAUACAAGAAACACAUGAGGUAAUUAUGUUCGCCAAAACGUAGGUGAAGGAGGUAUUUUUUUUCUUUUUUAACCUGUUUUUAAAACUUAUUUUAAGAAUAACCUUUAGCUAACUUUUAUUUUUAUUUCUAGCCCUUUUGCCAUGCCAACAUCCUUGACAUGGUAGAAAAACGUUGCCCAUAUGUAUUGGCAUGGCAAGAUGUACAUACUAGAACGUAAAAAUCCGACGUGAAAAUUUUAUCGGGCCACUCCGUUGGCACAAUAACAUUAUUUUGCCACCCCCAUCGUCCGAAUUAGUGUGGCAACACUUAUGCUAAAACACACAAUCAUUGCCAGAACAUCACAAUCGAUUACGCUAGACCCAGCAAUAACUAUUUAACACUGCCAGACCGUAAGGCUAGGACCUAGAAAAUUAGCAACAAGCUAAUCACUCUAUAACAUCAUUGAUUCUUCACCAUUGAUCUCACCUACCAAUGUUGCUUACUUGCUUCUAGUUAUAAAAGCAGCAUCUAGACGUCUCCACGGCUAAGGAUGCACUACCAAAAGGGUGAAAUUCUCCUAAUAUUUUUAUAUAGUAAUAAAAUACUAUCACUCCCUUGCUCCAUUGGUCCUUGUUCUUUUGUCUCUG
RNAcentral lists this long non-coding RNA (999 nucleotides) under Sorghum bicolor (sorghum). RNAcentral describes it as "long non-coding RNA (SBIC_LNC013391)". The record is from RNAcentral. Lineage: Eukaryota; Viridiplantae; Streptophyta; Magnoliopsida; Poales; Poaceae.